AUGAGCCUUAUAGAAAUUGUUAGCUCUUUUGGAAGGACUCUUGGCUCUGUGUAAUAAUCUGUUUCUCAUUUCUCCUUAGCAAAGACGUUGCUGAAAGAAUACAGAAGGUACUGGAGAGUCCAGGACCCUUCUUUGAUCUCAAGUCAGAUGGUUCCUCCAGUCCCAGUUCCCCAGAAUUCCCUAACAGGAAGUGCAACAGAAUCUCCUCCAGCCAGACAUCCGGGUAUUGUGUGAUGCAGCCCCUGUCCCACUCCUCAUCCAAUGUGAGCAGCUGUUGCAGAAGAAGUUGAUGUGUUCCCUUGAAGGUCCCCAGAAGCAGGACACGCUGGCUCAGAGUGCGUGGUUGGACGAUAAUGUCUGUACACCCAGCAGUACCAGCUCACCAGUAACUCGGCUGCUCCCUUCCGGCAGCGGUGCAGGCUCUAUGGAGAAGGGGAAAGGUGGCAAAGUGGAUGCUCACCGUUACAGCCCAGCCUCCAUUUUGUGCUGUGUGUGAUAUCAUCGCUGGAGGGGUGUCUCAGUGCAUGCUGGGUAAUGCACAGGUAAUCCACACCCUAGGGGGCCUUGGUGCCCUAGGGUAAGGGAAUAAGGGCAUGUGGGGGAAAGAUGACGGAAGGGAAAGGGACUCUGCCGUUCCUACACAACCAGGUAGAAAAAUGUGGGUUGGAAUCCAAAGUAAAACAUCUUUGGGUCUGUGUUCUCCUUUGCCCCACAGCACUUCCCAAUCCCUUUUCCUUGGCCCUCUUGCCACACUGUGUGGGCCAUCUCUCGAGAAGAUGAAUAUGCUCUGUUCCCUACCCAACACCAU
Molecule: long non-coding RNA, 808 nt
Organism: Hemicordylus capensis (graceful crag lizard)
Lineage: Eukaryota; Metazoa; Chordata; Lepidosauria; Squamata; Cordylidae
Exons: 5
Source: RefSeq, a predicted model, not a curated record